UCCCAUCUCUUUAUCAGUACCAACACACUUGCUCACUUGAUUGAAAUUGAGGAUUGUUUGUUGUAAUCAAUUUUAGGAUGUAAUUUUAGGGAUGGGUGGCUAGAUUGUAAUCAAUUUUGAGUUUCUAUGUUUGAAGAAAUUAUAAUUUUUUGUAACUUUGUUCCCUCACAGUUUUGCGCUUGUCUUCUAAGUGUAUAUUGUUGUUGCUCAUUGAUAUGUAGCUAUAAGUGUACUAUCGGUGAAAGAAUUAGUUAAGGGGCUUUUGUGUAUGUUGGAGAAGGCUUUCGUUUUGUUGUUGGCUGUUUGUUUGCUUGUAUUUGUUUUUUUUUUGGGGUUAUGAGUGAGUGGUGGUGCUGAUUGGUAUGAUGAAGGUUACAGUACCGGUACGGCGGAGUUGCAGUGACAGAGAGAGUAGAGCUGUAGCAGGAAGAAGAGAGAAAGUUGUUUCUUUUAUUUUAUUUUUAUUAUUAUUAUUAAACAAAUAAUCUGGACCAUUAGAUUUUUUUUUGCCACAUGGCAAAC
RNAcentral lists this long non-coding RNA (522 nucleotides) under Trifolium pratense (red clover). RNAcentral's name for it is "long non-coding RNA (TPRA_LNC012593)". The record is from RNAcentral. Lineage: Eukaryota; Viridiplantae; Streptophyta; Magnoliopsida; Fabales; Fabaceae.